This is a non-coding RNA of Pelobates cultripes (western spadefoot toad), 231 nucleotides long. The record is from the annotation of a GenBank genome assembly. Lineage: Eukaryota; Metazoa; Chordata; Amphibia; Anura; Pelobatidae.
CACAUACACACACAUACAUACAACGACAUACAUACAUACAGGCAGGCACACACACACACAGACACACAUACAGACAGACAGGCACACAGACACACACACACAAAAUGUUUAAUUCACCCUCCUGUUUCCUACCUUUUAGGUGCAGGAGGGUGACUUUCCCUGGGGUCCAGUGGUGGCUCAGGUGGAUGGUAGUCAGAGUUUCCACUCUGACUCCCUCUGCUUCCUCCUGUG